AUUGAACGCUGGCGGCAGGCUUAACACAUGCAAGUCGAGCGGGGUGAUGGUGCUUGCACUAUCACUUAGCGGCGGACGGGUGAGUAAUGCUUAGGAAUCUGCCUAUUAGUGGGGGACAACAUCUCGAAAGGGAUGCUAAUACCGCAUACGUCCUACGGGAGAAAGCAGGGGAUCACUUGUGACCUUGCGCUAAUAGAUGAGCCUAAGUCGGAUUAGCUAGUUGGUGGGGUAAAGGCCUACCAAGGCGACGAUCUGUAGCGGGUCUGAGAGGAUGAUCCGCCACAGUGGGACUGAGACGCGGCCCAGACUCCGACGGGAUGCGGCAGUGGGGAAUAUUGGACAAUGGGGGUAACCCUGAUCCAGCCAUGCCGCGUGUGUGAAGAAGGCCUUAUGGUUGUAAAGCACUUUAAGCGAGGAGGAGGCUCUUUUGGUUAAUACCCAAGAUGAGUGGACGUUACUCGCAGAAUAAGCACCGGCUAACUCUGUGCCAGCCGCCGCCGUAA
Molecule: ribosomal RNA, 503 nt
Filed under: uncultured bacterium
Lineage: Bacteria
Description: partial 16S ribosomal RNA
Rfam family: Bacterial small subunit ribosomal RNA
Source: RNAcentral